RNAcentral lists this transfer RNA (69 nucleotides) under human gut metagenome. It matches the Rfam family "tRNA", at positions 6 to 65 of the family's 71-position model. Rfam says of the family: Transfer RNA (tRNA) molecules are approximately 80 nucleotides in length. Their secondary structure includes four short double-helical elements and three loops (D, anti-codon, and T loops). The record is from RNAcentral.
CAUUAGCUCAGUUGGUUAGAGCAACCGGCUCAUAACCGGUUGGUCCGGGGUUCGAGUCCGUUAUUGUCC